This 443-nucleotide ribosomal RNA is filed under the name uncultured bacterium. RNAcentral's name for it is "partial 16S ribosomal RNA". It matches the Rfam family "Bacterial small subunit ribosomal RNA", at positions 338 to 795 of the family's 1533-position model. The record is from RNAcentral.
CCUACGGGAGGCAGCAGUGGGGAAUAUUGGGCAAUGGGCGCAAGCCUGACCCAGCAACGCCGCGUGAAGGAAGAAGGCUUUCGGGUUGUAAACUUCUUUUCUCAGGGACGAAGAAAGUGACGGUACCUGAGGAAUAAGCCACGGCUAACUACGUGCCAGCAGCGGCGGUAAUACGUAGGUGGCAAGCGUUAUCCGGAUUUAUUGGGUGUAAAGGGCGUGUAGGCGGGAGGGCAAGUCAGAUGUGAAAACUCAGGGCUCAACCCGGAGCCUGCUUUUGAAACUGGGUUUCUUGAGUGCUGGGGAGGCAAUCGGAAUUCCGAGUGUAGCGGUGAAAUGCGUAGAUAUACGGAGGAACACCAGUGGCGAAGGCGGAUUGCUGGACAGUAACUGACGCUGAGGCGCGAAGGCGUGGGGAGCAAACAGGAUUAGAUACCCGUGUAGUC